AGGUCAAACGAGAUCACGCAUGUGAACCGCUUAGCACGCGCAUGGCACACCGGAAUCAGAAGAAAAGGUAGGGACGUUUCCAGAGCUGGCAAUGAGCGAGAACUGCGACAGGAAGCAGCUAUGGACCGGCGCACCACAGAGCUUCCCUGAGUGCCAACCGCCGUCACCUGCGGCCACGCCCACUGCAACUCCGAGGCGUUAUCGAAGCCCACGAUUGUUCCCUUUACAUAAUUAGUUUUCUUCUUCGCCGCUGAAUUACAGGGCCGUGAGAAGCUCGUCUGCUCCACUCAUUAUUGUGUCCUCACGUCUGAGAACAGAGCCCGGGACACACAAGCAGUGCUCGAGACCUCUGACCCCUGAGCCGGGGGAAACGGGGUCUUGUGCCGUCUCUUCUGAUAACUGCACCGACCCCAGCAUGAGGCUCCACAGUUGUUCAGACCUCAUCUAAAUCUCUUUGUGUCCCGGAGGUCCCGCCUCCAGACAGCACCACAGAGGGCUUGAGGCUUCCAGCACAGUUCGGUCUGCAGCACAUGCUUUUCCCUCGACGACUGCAUGUCAUGAAGUAGGUGGUUUUCACUACGAUAAUAUCCUGCCUCACCACACACCCAAAGGCAACAGGACCAAGCAAUUAUGAACUGAACUCUGAGUCAAAAUGAACGGAUUUGUAGAUUCAUUAUCUUUUCUUUUAUAAACCGAUUGUGUCAGGUAUCCGGUACGGUACCCACACCCAGAGAGGCCCCAGUCACUCAGCAAACCCGUGCUCAGCCUGGGCCUCCCAACCAGAGCUCCUGCCUGCAGUUCCCACACCGCGUAAGACCCAUGGAGAGUCAAAGAUUAUCUUUGAA
This is a long non-coding RNA of Chinchilla lanigera (long-tailed chinchilla), 845 nucleotides long. RefSeq lists it as uncharacterized. NCBI's taxonomy places the organism in Eukaryota, Metazoa, Chordata, Mammalia, Rodentia, Chinchillidae. The transcript has 4 exons. The record is from RefSeq and is a predicted model, not a curated record.